Long non-coding RNA from Magnolia sinica, 836 nucleotides. RefSeq lists it as uncharacterized. The transcript has 2 exons. The record is from RefSeq and is a predicted model, not a curated record. Lineage: Eukaryota; Viridiplantae; Streptophyta; Magnoliopsida; Magnoliales; Magnoliaceae.
UCGAUGUGCGAGCGAGCGAGAGAGAUCUUCAUUCUCUUUCUAAGGUUUUCUCUAGGGAUUUCACACCUCGAUCGUCCCUCCUCUUUUUUUCAUUUAAUUUUCUACAAAUCUCUUUGAUUUCUUCGAUCUUUGAAGAACCUGUCAAGACCUCGAUCUCUUUCUUCGCUUUUUCGCCUAGGGUUUCUGCUCCCAAUUCGUAGAUUUUACUCUUUUUUUUCUCGUCUUCAGCUUCAAUCUCUGUAAAAGAGAUGGAAUCCUUCUUCGCCGUUCCUUUCUAGGGUUCCUGCACGAGAUUUGCUGUUUUGUCCGUUGGGUUCCUGGACAAUACAUUCAAGAAGGUUGGGAGAAUGCAGCAGAGAUUGAAGCAGCAGCAACGGCAAAUUAAGCCCUCUGUUUUGUAGGAUCUGGAAGAAAGGAGAUGAGAUUUGAGAAAGUAGCUUCUUUCAAUCAAAUUGAGGUAAAAAAGGAAAAAGGAAGGGUGAUGAUGGAUUUUACAAUGGAUUACAAAGAUCCAGGGGCCAACACAAACCCUAGUGCUGGAUAUUUGUUCCCGCCUCCACCAACUCACCUUAAUCGUCCGUAAUUAAUAGUUUAUGCUUCCUAAUCAAAUAAGGCCUAGUGGGGUGACACGUGGUAGCUUAUUACACUGUCUCUGUUCAUUUCUAUUUUCUUAUUAUUUUUUGGGUAGGGAUAUUUGAAUGCAGUUUUAGCUUUUGCAAUGUCUAAUGACAAGGUCUUGUUUCUCUGUUGCAAACACGCUGAGUCGACUCAUUUACUGGUUAAAAAGCAUCCCUAAGUUAUGGAACGGCGGCCAUACUAUGGCAUAGUAUGAUGGA